CCCAGCUCUGCUUAGCCACCGGCGCUGCCGGGAAGCGGGAGGUCUGAAUUGCCUUCCUCGCACUCUCGGCCCAAAAGCGCCUCACCCAGCGCCGGGUCUCCCCGGACUGGGCCGGCCUCGCCGCCCUCAAAGCGGCCUGCGGGUUUGCAAACAAGCUGUUGCCUUCAAACAAAAGUUGAGCGGAAACGGGCAAAGAAGGACAAGUGCCUGAAAAAAGAGUGGGUGGGUGCAGGACUAGUGGUGUAGAAGGAGAGCAGCAAGAGAGAGGCAAGAGGAAAAGAGGACGUGCUGGCCCACGGCCGGCGAUGCUAGCACGGGUUGGAGGUUAACUUCGCCCUAAGGCAGCGGGUGUGGGGAAAGCGAGAAACUGAGCUUUUCUGGCCUGUUAAAUUCCCAGCUCUGCCACAGACCUCAGCAGUCCUGCAGGGCCUCAUUCCCUUGCCGCUUUCUCCCCUGCCUUCGGCCCCGCGGGGAGCUGGGCUCGGCCGCGCUCAGCGCGGGGGGCGGCCGGACGUACGCCCCCCCCGGGCUUCCUGCUUCUCCCCUGCCUGGCGCGCAGCCUUUUCUGAAAAACGCCCGUGGAGCGAGGAAGGCAAGCUGUCCUGGACCAGGCUUCGUAAAGGAAGCAGGGGGAAGAGAGAGGGAGUGUCUUGCACCAACCGAAGCUGAUGUGAGUGUCUUUCAUCCGAUGCACGUCGCGCGAUGACGCUCACACGUCCCCGAGGCACCUCGUGAUGCUUUUAAUCUGAAGAGCUCAAGGCGGGGAAGCACGGGGCGCUUGAGAGAGCGUUUUCCGAAGCCCGGGAGGCACGUCCUUCACCUGAGCACGCCUGCAUCGGCCGCUCGCCCAGGGUGGCCGGGUGCACCUGGAGGGGC
RNAcentral lists this long non-coding RNA (876 nucleotides) under Struthio camelus australis. Its description in RNAcentral is "lncRNA (ENSSCUG00000006799.1)". The record is from RNAcentral. Lineage: Eukaryota; Metazoa; Chordata; Aves; Struthioniformes; Struthionidae.